GUGGUUGUGGCUCAGUGGUAGAGUGCUUGCCUCGCAUGUGUGAGUCACUGGGUACAAGUCUCAGCACCACA
RNAcentral lists this transfer RNA (71 nucleotides) under Ictidomys tridecemlineatus (thirteen-lined ground squirrel). Its description in RNAcentral is "Spermophilus tridecemlineatus (thirteen-lined ground squirrel) tRNA". It matches the Rfam family "tRNA". Rfam says of the family: Transfer RNA (tRNA) molecules are approximately 80 nucleotides in length. Their secondary structure includes four short double-helical elements and three loops (D, anti-codon, and T loops). Further hydrogen bonds mediate the characteristic L-shaped molecular structure. tRNAs have two regions of fundamental functional importance: the anti-codon, which is responsible for specific mRNA codon recognition, and the 3' end, to which the tRNAs corresponding amino acid is attached (by aminoacyl-tRNA synthetases). tRNAs cope with the degeneracy of the genetic code in two manners: having more than one tRNA (with a specific anti-codon) for a particular amino acid; and 'wobble' base-pairing, i.e. permitting non-standard base-pairing at the 3rd anti-codon position. Lineage: Eukaryota; Metazoa; Chordata; Mammalia; Rodentia; Sciuridae. The record is from Rfam by way of RNAcentral.